AAAUCCAACAUCAAGACAACGUCUCAAGCCAACGUCAGAUUGACAUCAAAUACUGAUGUUUAGUCGUCAGGUAUGGCAACCAAAAUCCAAUGUCUUCAAGACGUCAUAAUGGUAACGUCCAAUCAACGUCAAAUUAUAACGUCAUUUGACUUUGAUCUUUAGUUUGUUUUUAGGUUGUGACAUUAACUAACCUAAACCCAACGUCGAGCCAACGUCUCAGGCCAACGUCACAUUGACAUCAAAUACUGAUAUUUAGUCGUCAGGUAUGGCAACCAUAAUCCAACGUUUUCUAGACGUCAUAAUGGCAACGUCCACACAAUGUCAAAUUAUAACAUAAUUUGAUGUUGAUCUGUAGUUAGUUUUAGGUUGUGGCAUUAACUAACCAAAAUCCAACGUCGAGCCAACGUCUCAAGCCAACGUCACAUUGACAUCAAAUACUGAUACUUAGUCGUCAGGUAUGGCAACCAAAAUCCAAUGUCUUCAAGACGUCAUAAUGGUAACGUCCAAUCAACGUCAAAUUAUAACGUCAUUUGACUUU
Long non-coding RNA from Cyprinus carpio carpio, 538 nucleotides. The record is from Ensembl. NCBI's taxonomy places the organism in Eukaryota, Metazoa, Chordata, Actinopteri, Cypriniformes, Cyprinidae.